UAGGGAAUCUUCGGCAAUGGACGAAAGUCUGACCGAGCAACGCCGCGUGCGUGAAGAAGGUUUUCGGAUCGUAAAACUCUGUUGUUAGAGAAGAACAAGGACGUUAGUAACUGAACGUCCCCUGACGGUAUCUAACCAGAAAGCCACGGCUAACUACGUGCCAGCAGCCGCGGUAAUACGUAGGUGGCAAGCGUUGUCCGGAUUUAUUGGGCGUAAAGCGAGCGCAGGCGGUUUCUUAAGUCUGAUGUGAAAGCCCCCGGCUCAACCGGGGGGGGUCAUUGGAAACUGGGAGACUUGAGUGCAGAAGAGGGGGGUGGAAUUCCAUGUGUGGCGGUGAAAUGCGUAGAUGUAUGGAGGAACACCAGUGGCGAAGGCGGCUCGCUGGACUGUAACUGACGCUGAGGCUCGAAAGCGUGGGGAGCAAACAGG
This 429-nucleotide ribosomal RNA is filed under the name Gemmatimonadota bacterium. RNAcentral describes it as "Gemmatimonadetes bacterium partial 16S ribosomal RNA". It matches the Rfam family "Bacterial small subunit ribosomal RNA", at positions 355 to 776 of the family's 1533-position model. The record is from RNAcentral. Lineage: Bacteria; Pseudomonadati; Gemmatimonadota.